AGCCACCAUGCCUGGCCACAAUGAUUAGGAUUUUAUGCACAUGUGAGAGCUGUGCCUCUCUUAAACCGUGUUAUGACCUUUGCAUAUUACCUGUCUGACA
Molecule: small nucleolar RNA, 100 nt
Organism: Callithrix jacchus (white-tufted-ear marmoset)
Lineage: Eukaryota; Metazoa; Chordata; Mammalia; Primates; Cebidae
Source: Ensembl